RNAcentral lists this ribosomal RNA (792 nucleotides) under Thalassiosira rotula. RNAcentral describes it as "partial Eukaryotic large subunit ribosomal RNA". It matches the Rfam family "Eukaryotic large subunit ribosomal RNA", at positions 58 to 840 of the family's 3401-position model. The record is from RNAcentral. Lineage: Eukaryota; Bacillariophyta; Thalassiosirophyceae; Thalassiosirales; Thalassiosiraceae.
AAAGAAACUAACAAGGAUUCCCCUAGUAACGGCGAGCGAAGCGGGAAGAGCUCAAAUUUGAAAGCUGGCGUCUUCGGCGUCCGCGUUGUAAUCUCGAGACGUGUUUUCCGUGCGGCUCUAUGGACAAGUCCCUUGGAACAGGGCAUCGUAGAGGGUGAAAAUCCCGUACUUGCCAUGGAAGUACCGUGCUUUGUGAUACACGCUCCAAGAGUCGAGUAGUUUGGGAUUGCUGCUCAAAGUGGGUGGUAGACUCCAUCUAAAGCUAAAUAUCGGGGAGAGACCGAUAGCGAACAAGUACCGUGAGGGAAAGAUGAAAAGCACUUUGGAAAGAGAGUUAAAAGUACGUGAAAUUGUCGAAAGGGAAGCACUUGAAGUCAGCCAUGCUGCUUGAGACUCAGCCUGGCUUUUGCUUGGUGUAUUUCUCGGUAGCAAGCCAGCAUUGGUUUGUGUCGUCGGAGAAGCGCAUGGGGAAUGUGGCAUCCUCGGAUGUGUUAUAGCCCUGUGCAGGAUACGACGACGUAGACCAAGGAACGCAGUGUGCCCUCUGGGCGGGUCUUCGGACACCUUCACACUUAGGAUGCUGGCGUAAUGGCUUUAAGUGGCCCGUCUUGUAACACGGACCAAGGAGUCUAACAUGUUUGCGAGUCUUUGGGUGGAAAACCCAUGGGCGUAAUUAAUGUAAAUGCAGGUGGGAUGCGCAAGCAGCACCAUCGACCGAUCUGGAUCAUUUAUGUGAUGGAUUUGAGUAAGAGCACAUAUGUUGGGACCCGAAAGAUGGUGAACUAUGCCUGA